Long non-coding RNA from Cyprinus carpio carpio, 955 nucleotides. The record is from Ensembl. NCBI's taxonomy places the organism in Eukaryota, Metazoa, Chordata, Actinopteri, Cypriniformes, Cyprinidae.
UGGAAAUGUGGUCUUCGCUCAAACUUUCCAAUCGCUGCUGAUGGUAUUUUCCAGCGUCCUUCCUUUUGCGCACUUGUUCUCCUGUUCACUCGCGCUGGAAAGUUCCUCUCGCCUCCCGUAUGCUAAUCAUUCUUCACGAGUUUAGGGAAGACAGAGGACGAGGAGAGAUGCAGAGACAGCCGGAGAAGGGAGAGAGAAGAUAACGGUGGAAGGCAGGCAACCAAUUGGCCUGGAGCUCUUAGAGAGAGAGAGAGAGAGAGAGAGAGAGAGAGAGAGACCAAGGAAUGGGGGAAGCACCAAUGAGGCGGAGCAAAAGAAUGCGAGGACGCGGCUGCCAUAGAGAAAGACAAGACAGAAAGAAGGAAAAACAGCUGUACGUGAGUCAGAGCCGAGAUGCAAAGCUCUUACCAUCAGCGUGAUGCCUGCAUCCUCAGCUCAGCCCCCAGACCUCCACCCAUCCCGGUGCCGCAGGCGCGAAUGAUUAGGAUGCGUUUGCCUUCUCUGUAUCAGGGACUGAAUUUGCUCCCUUCCUUGCUCUGUGCGUGGCGUGUUUGCAGCAUCAAUGCUUCCCAUAGGCCUUGCGUUCUGAGUGUGUGUGCUUUAUUUGGGCUAGUAUCAGGGAAUCUCAUGCAUACGUCCAUCAUUCGCCUGCAGAAGAGAGCUGGACUCAUUAAUGUCGUCAGGGCUGUGAGCGCUGGCAGAGCACCAGCAGCGUGGAGCGCUGAGAUAACUGGCUUAAGAAGCAGCCAACCUCCCCUGCUCCGGCAGACAGAUCUGUCUCCUCCCAGACAAAAGCGAUGCUAUCCAUAUAUCCGCGCCAUGCACAUCCACACAGUCCAUGUGUUGGGCUGGUAAAGCAUAUCCAAGCAGGAACGAGAAUCACCCAAUCAGGCUGCAGUGUUUUUCUAGUGUAAUGCAGUGGAGGCCCCAUUUAGCCCUCUUGCUAAUCACUGUU